UAUCUCUGUAGAGUCUGCAUAUCAAUAAGCGGAGGAAAAGAAACUAACAUAGGAUUCCCUCAGUAACGGCGAGAUGAAGCGGGAAGAGCUCAAAUUUGAAAUCUUCAAGGUUCUACCUUGACGAAUUGUAGUUUAAAGAAGUGUUUUCUGUUGGAGUUUUGGUAAAAGUUCUUUGGAAUAGGACAUCAUAGAGGGUGAGAAUCCCGUAUUUGACCAUUACUUUCAGCUGUGUGAUACACUUUCAAAGAGUCGGAUUGUUUGGGAAUGCAGUCCAAAAUGGGUGGUAAAUUUCAUCUAAAGCUAAAUAUUGGCGAGAGACCGAUAGCGAACAAGUACCGUGAGGGAAAGAUGAAAAGAACUUUGAAAAGAGAGUUAAACAGUACGUGAAAUUGUCAAAAGGGAAGCGUUUGACACCAGUGUUGUUUUUCCGAAAAUCAAUUACGAAUGGCUUGAUUCUGUGUUGUAUUGACCUUAUCAGCUUUCUUCACUUUUUUCGAGUCUUUCUUAAUGCACUUUUCGGUUAACAAGUCACCAUCAAUUUCUUUUGUUGUAAAAGAGUAUUCGGAAGGUGGCUUUCUUUUCGGAGAAAGUGUUUAUAGCCCUAUACUUCUACAAUCGGAGAGAUUGAGGUCUGCAGCGUAGAUCCUUCGGGGUUAGAUACACUUGUGCUAAGUUGUAGCUUUUCAUAGACAACUUGUUGACUAUGUUUAGUCAUGCGGCUUACUCGCUUGUGCUAUUUUACCUACGCUUAGGAUGUUGAUCUGUAGUGCGUGCGC
This 776-nucleotide ribosomal RNA is filed under the name uncultured Neocallimastigales. Its description in RNAcentral is "partial large subunit ribosomal RNA". It matches the Rfam family "Eukaryotic large subunit ribosomal RNA", at positions 24 to 634 of the family's 3401-position model. The record is from RNAcentral. Lineage: Eukaryota; Fungi; Neocallimastigomycota; Neocallimastigomycetes; Neocallimastigales.